GCCUUGCCAUAAACCAACCCACACAUUUUUAAACGCCCGGAUAUUACGAGCUAAAGCUUAAAACCCAAAGGACUUGACGGUGUCCCAUCCACCUAGAGGAGCCUGUUCUGUAAUCGAUAACCCCCGSUACACCCAACCACCCCUUGCCUYUUCCAGCCUGUAUACCGCCGUCGCAAACCCACCGUAUGAAUGCCCCAGUCGGUUCAAGGGACCCUACCAGCACGUCAGGUCAAGGUGCAGCCUAUGGGGUGGAARAAAUGGGCUACAAUCUCUAAAAUAGAACAAACAGAAAAUUAUGUGAAACCAUAAAAUGAAGGAGGAUUUAGCAGUAAAAAGAAAAUAGCGAGUUYUUUUUAACUAGGCCCUGGGACGUGUACACACCGCCCGUCACCCUYUUCAAUAGCCCCAACUAAAGUUUAUAACACAUUACUUGCACCUUAGAAGAGGUAAGUCGUAACACGGUAAGUGUACUGGAAAGUGCGCUUGGCACAA
This 492-nucleotide ribosomal RNA is filed under the name Nyctibatrachus sp. KR-2003. Its description in RNAcentral is "partial 12S ribosomal RNA". It matches the Rfam family "Bacterial small subunit ribosomal RNA", at positions 794 to 1533 of the family's 1533-position model. Lineage: Eukaryota; Metazoa; Chordata; Amphibia; Anura; Nyctibatrachidae. The record is from RNAcentral.